AAAAAGACAAACUCUGGCUUCUGUGUCCAACUUUUGACCGUCCGUCUUAUUUAAAAAAAUUAAAAAGAUAAGUCACGCAUAAAGUAUUAAUCAUGAUAUAUUAUCUAACAACAAUAAAAUACUAAUUAUAAAAAAUUUUAUAUAAGACGAACAGUCAAACGUUGGCACGGAAAGGGCACCUAGC
This is a non-coding RNA of Oryza meridionalis, 184 nucleotides long. The record is from Rfam. Lineage: Eukaryota; Viridiplantae; Streptophyta; Magnoliopsida; Poales; Poaceae.